This 253-nucleotide ribosomal RNA is filed under the name uncultured bacterium. RNAcentral describes it as "partial 16S ribosomal RNA". It matches the Rfam family "Bacterial small subunit ribosomal RNA", at positions 524 to 776 of the family's 1533-position model. The record is from RNAcentral.
UACGGGGGGGGCAAGCGUUGUUCGGAAUUAUUGGGCGUAAAGGGUGCGUAGGCGGGUCUUUAAGUCAGGGGUGAAAUCCUGGAGCUCAACUCCAGAACUGCCUUUGAUACUGAGGAUCUUGAGUCCGGGAGAGGUGAGUGGAACUGCGAGUGUAGAGGUGAAAUUCGUAGAUAUUCGCAAGAACACCAGUGGCGAAGGCGGCUCACUGGCCCGGUACUGACGCUGAGGUGCGAAAGCGUGGGGAGCAAACAGG